Suricata suricatta (meerkat) is the source of this 243-nucleotide long non-coding RNA. RefSeq lists it as uncharacterized. Lineage: Eukaryota; Metazoa; Chordata; Mammalia; Carnivora; Herpestidae. The transcript is spliced from 2 exons. The record is from RefSeq and is a predicted model, not a curated record.
GUAGCAGGUUAAGUAAAGUAUGGGAGGUAUCUUCAGGACACUGGAUCUAAUUUUUGGCUGUAAUACCUUAGAGAUGCCUGUCAUGCAUGGUAACAGCUUAAAAGCCCAAGUAAUACAGGACUGAAGGAUUCAUGAAGAAAGGGAAAGACUCUGAUAGAAUGCGAACCAAGAUGAAAAUACUCUGACAAGUGGCCAAGAAUUGGAAACACAGUGGGAAAUAAAGGAACAUGUCUUUGCGGUGGA